Molecule: non-coding RNA, 124 nt
Organism: Triticum aestivum (bread wheat)
Lineage: Eukaryota; Viridiplantae; Streptophyta; Magnoliopsida; Poales; Poaceae
Source: Rfam
GUCAUACUCCCUCCGACCGAAAAUAUUUGUCAAAAAAACGAAAAAAAUGAAUGUAUCUGAAACUAAAAUACAUCUAGAUACUUUCAUUUCUUUAAUAAGUAUUUCCGGACGGAGGGAGUAUAUU